GACGAACGCUGGCGGCGUGCUUAACACAUGCAAGUCGAACGGAAAGGCGCUGCUUUUGUGGGGUGCUCGAGUGGCGAACGGGUGAGUAACACGUGAGUAACCUGCCCUUGACUUUGGGAUAACUUCAGGAAACUGGGGCUAAUACCGGAUAGGAGCUCCUGCUGCAUGGUGGGGGUUGGAAAGUUUCGGCGGUUGGGGAUGGACUCGCGGCUUAUCAGCUUGUUGGUGGGGUAGUGGCUUACCAAGGCUUUGACGGGUAGCCGGCCUGAGAGGGUGACCGGCCACAUUGGGACUGAGAUACGGCCCAGACUCCUACGGGAGGCAGCAGUGGGGAACAUUGCACAAUGGGCGGAAGCCUGAUGCGGCAACGCCGCGUGCGGGAUGACGGCCUUCGGGUUGUAAACCGCUUUCGCCUGUGACGAAGCGUGAGUGACGGUAAUGGGUAAAGAAGCACCGGCUAACUACGUG
Molecule: ribosomal RNA, 468 nt
Filed under: uncultured bacterium
Lineage: Bacteria
Description: partial 16S ribosomal RNA
Rfam family: Bacterial small subunit ribosomal RNA
Source: RNAcentral